RNAcentral lists this ribosomal RNA (397 nucleotides) under uncultured bacterium. RNAcentral describes it as "partial 16S ribosomal RNA". It matches the Rfam family "Bacterial small subunit ribosomal RNA", at positions 523 to 918 of the family's 1533-position model. The record is from RNAcentral.
AUACGUAGGUGACAAGCGUUAUCCGGAUUUACUGGGCGUAAAGGGCGUGUAGGCGGUCUUGCAAGUCAGAAGUGAAAUACCUGAGCUCAACUCGGGCGCUGCUUCUGAAACUGCAGGACUUGAGUGCUGGAGGGGAUAGCGGAAUUCCUAGUGGAGCGGUAAAAUGCGCAGAUAUUAGGAAGAACACCGGUGGCGAAGGCGGCUAUCUGGACAUUAACUGACGCGAAGGGGCGAAGGCGUGGGGAGAAAAAAGGUUUAGAACCCCUGUUAGUCCACGCCGUAAACGAUGAAUACUAGGUGUAGGGGGUAUCGACUCCCUCUGUGCCGCAGUUAACACAAUAAGUAUUCCGCCUGGGGAGUACGGCCGCAAGGUUGAAACUCAAAGGAAUUGACGGGG